UACGUAGGGUGCGAGCGUUGUCCGGAAUUACUGGGCGUAAAGAGCUCGUAGGUGGUUUGUCGCGUUGUCCGUGAAAACUCACAGCUUAACUGUGGGCGUGCGGGCGAUACGGGCAGACUGGAGUACUGCAGGGGAGACUGGAAUUCCCGGUGUAGCGGUGGAAUGCGCAGAUAUCAGGAGGAACACCGGUGGCGAAGGCGGGUCUCUGGGCAGUAACUGACGCUGAGGAGCGAAAGCGUGGGGAGCGAACAGG
This 253-nucleotide ribosomal RNA is filed under the name uncultured bacterium. RNAcentral's name for it is "partial 16S ribosomal RNA". It matches the Rfam family "Bacterial small subunit ribosomal RNA", at positions 524 to 776 of the family's 1533-position model. The record is from RNAcentral.